This 157-nucleotide small nuclear RNA is filed under the name Arabidopsis thaliana (thale cress). Its description in RNAcentral is "U4 snRNA". It matches the Rfam family "U4 spliceosomal RNA". Rfam says of the family: U4 small nuclear RNA (U4 snRNA) is a component of the major U2-dependent spliceosome. The structure of U4 snRNA from yeast and human has been reported. The record is from RNAcentral. Lineage: Eukaryota; Viridiplantae; Streptophyta; Magnoliopsida; Brassicales; Brassicaceae.
AUCUUUGCGCUUGGGGCAAUGACGCAGCUAAUGAGGUUCUAACCGAGGCGCGUCUAUUGCUGGUUGAAAACUAUUUCCAAACCCCCUCCUAGGCCUAAGCUUGUCUUGGGCCUUCGAGAAUUUCUGGAAGGGCUCCCUUUGGGGUAAAGCCCUACAA